This 867-nucleotide ribosomal RNA is filed under the name uncultured Corynebacterium sp. RNAcentral's name for it is "bacterial SSU rRNA". It matches the Rfam family "Bacterial small subunit ribosomal RNA", at positions 36 to 916 of the family's 1533-position model. Lineage: Bacteria; Bacillati; Actinomycetota; Actinomycetes; Mycobacteriales; Corynebacteriaceae. The record is from RNAcentral.
CUGGCGGCGUGCUUAACACAUGCAAGUCGAACGGAAAGGCCCUGCUUGCAGGGUACUCGAGUGGCGAACGGGUGAGUAACACGUGGGUGAUCUGCCCUGCACUUCGGGAUAAGCCUGGGAAACUGGGUCUAAUACCGGAUAGGACCAUCGUUUAGUGUCGGUGGUGGAAAGUUUUUCGGUGCAGGAUGAGCUCGCGGCCUAUCAGCUUGUUGGUGGGGUAAUGGCCUACCAAGGCGUCGACGGGUAGCCGGCCUGAGAGGGUGGACGGCCACAUUGGGACUGAGACACGGCCCAGACUCCUACGGGAGGCAGCAGUGGGGAAUAUUGCACAAUGGGCGCAAGCCUGAUGCAGCGACGCCGCGUGGGGGAUGAAGGCCUUCGGGUUGUAAACUCCUUUCAACCAUGACGAAGCAUUAUGUGACGGUAGUGGUAGAAGAAGCACCGGCUAACUACGUGCCAGCAGCCGCGGUAAUACGUAGGGUGCGAGCGUUGUCCGGAAUUACUGGGCGUAAAGAGCUCGUAGGUGGUUUGUCGCGUCGUCUGUGGAAUUCCGGGGCUUAACUCCGGGCGUGCAGGCGAUACGGGCAUAACUUGAGUGCUGUAGGGGAGACUGGAAUUCCUGGUGUAGCGGUGAAAUGCGCAGAUAUCAGGAGGAACACCGAUGGCGAAGGCAGGUCUCUGGGCAGUAACUGACGCUGAGGAGCGAAAGCAUGGGUAGCGAACAGGAUUAGAUACCCUGGUAGUCCAUGCCGUAAACGGUGGGCGCUAGGUGUGGGGGUCUUCCACGACUUCUGUGCCGUAGCUAACGCAUUAAGCGCCCCGCCUGGGGAGUACGGCCACAAGGCUAAAACUCAAAUGAAUUGACGG